AAUGGGUGAGUAACACGUACUUAACAUACCUUUUAGAUUGGGAUAACGGUGAGAAAUUAUCGCUAAUACCGCAUACUUAUAUAAGUCGCAUGACUUAUAUAUAAAAGAAGCCUUAAAGCUUCACUAAGAGAUUGGGGUGCGGAACAUUAGCUAGUUGGUAAGGUAAUGGCUUACCAAGGCAAUGAUGUUUAGCGGGGUUGAGAGACUGAUCCGCCACACUGGGACUGAGAUACGGCCCAGACUCCUACGGGAGGCAGCAGUAGGGAAUUUUCCACAAUGGACGAAAGUCUGAUGGAGCGACACAGCGUGCAGGAUGACGGCCUUCGGGUUGUAAACUGCUGUUAUAAGGGAAGAAAAAGCAUUAGAGGAAAUGCUAGUGCCUUGACGGUACCUUGUCAGAAAGCAACGGCUAACUAUGUGCCAGCAGCCGCGGUAAUACAUAGGUUGCAAGCGUUAUCCGGAAUUAUUGGGCGUAAAGCGUCUGUAGGUUGUAUGUUAAGUCUGGCGUGAAAACUUGGGGCUCAACCCCAAAUUGCGUUGGAUACUGGCAUGCUAGAAUUGUGUAGAGGUUAGCGGAAUUCCUAGUGAAGCGGUGAAAUGCGUAGAUAUUAGGAAGAACACCAAUUUGGCGAAGGCAGCUAACUGGGCACAUAUUGACACUGAGAGACGAAAGCGUGGGGAGCAAACAGGAUUAGAUACCCUGGUAGUCCACGCUGUAAACGAUGAUGAUUAGCUGAUAGAGAGCUCUAUCGGCGCAGCUAACGCAUUAAAUCAUCCGCCUGAGUAGUAUGCUCGCAAGAGUGAAACUUAAAGGAAUUGACGGGGAUCCGCACAAGCGGUGGAGCAUGUGGUUUAAUUUGAAGAUACGCGUAGAACCUUACCCACUCUUGACAUCUUCUGCAAAGCUAUAGAGAUAUAGCAGAGGUUAACAGAAUGACAGAUGGUGCA
This 948-nucleotide ribosomal RNA is filed under the name Mycoplasmopsis bovirhinis. RNAcentral describes it as "bacterial SSU rRNA". It matches the Rfam family "Bacterial small subunit ribosomal RNA", at positions 101 to 1045 of the family's 1533-position model. Lineage: Bacteria; Bacillati; Mycoplasmatota; Mycoplasmoidales; Metamycoplasmataceae. The record is from RNAcentral.